This is a non-coding RNA of Vararia minispora EC-137, 95 nucleotides long. The record is from the annotation of a GenBank genome assembly. Lineage: Eukaryota; Fungi; Basidiomycota; Agaricomycetes; Russulales; Lachnocladiaceae.
GGCGAUAUGGCCGAGCGGUCUAAGGCGCUGGAAUCAGGUUCUAUUAUCCUUCUAUCCAGUCCGAAAGGGCGUGGGUUCGAAUCCCACUGUCGUCA